GCCCAGCUUGCUGGGCGGAUCAGUGGCGAACGGGUGAGUAACACGUGAGCAACCUGCCCUCCACUUCGGGAUAAGCCCUGGAAACGGGGUCUAAUACCGGAUAUGAGCCCUCACUGCAUGGUGGGGGUUGGAAAGUUUUUCGGUGGGGGAUGGGCUCGCGGCCUAUCAGCUUGUUGGUGGGGUGAUGGCCUACCAAGGCGUCGACGGGUAGCCGGCCUGAGAGGGCGACCGGCCACACUGGGACUGAGACACGGCCCAGACUCCUACGGGAGGCAGCAGUGGGGAAUAUUGCACAAUGGGCGCAAGCCUGAUGCAGCGACGCCGCGUGAGGGAUGACGGCCUUCGGGUUGUAAACCUCUUUCAGCAGGGAAGAAGCGCAAGUGACGGUACCUGCAGAAGAAGCGCCGGCUAACUACGUGCCAGCAGCCGCGGUAAUACGUAGGGCGCAAGCGUUGUCCGGAAUUAUUGGGCGUAAAGAGCUCGUAGGCGGUCUGUCGCGUCUGGUGUGAAAACCCGAGGCUCAACCUCGGGCUUGCAUCGGGUACGGGCGGACUAGAGUGCUGUAGGGGAGACUGGAAUUCCUGGUGUAGCGGUGGAAUGCGCAGAUAUCAGGAGGAACACCGAUGGCGAAGGCAGGUCUCUGGGCAGUUACUGACGCUGAGGAGCGAAAGCAUGGGGAGCGAACAGGAUUAGAUACCCUGGUAGUCCAUGCCGUAAACGUUGGGCACUAGGUGUGGGGACCAUUCC
RNAcentral lists this ribosomal RNA (747 nucleotides) under Krasilnikoviella sp. RNAcentral's name for it is "bacterial SSU rRNA". It matches the Rfam family "Bacterial small subunit ribosomal RNA", at positions 73 to 835 of the family's 1533-position model. Lineage: Bacteria; Bacillati; Actinomycetota; Actinomycetes; Micrococcales; Promicromonosporaceae. The record is from RNAcentral.